GCCUCUUUUAUGGGGUGACUGCGUACCUUUUGUAUAAUGGGUCAGCGACUUAUAUUCUGUAGCAAGGUUAACCGAAUAGGGGAGCCGAAGGGAAACCGAGUCUUAACUGGGCGUUAAGUUGCAGGGUAUAGACCCGAAACCCGGUGAUCUAGCCAUGGGCAGGUUGAAGGUUGGGUAACACUAACUGGAGGACCGAACCGACUAAUGUUGAAAAAUUAGCGGAUGACUUGUGGCUGGGGGUGAAAGGCCAAUCAAACCGGGAGAUAGCUGGUUCUCCCCGAAAGCUAUUUAGGUAGCGCCUCGUGAAUUCAUCUCCGGGGGUAGAGCACUGUUUCGGCAAGGGGGUCAUCCCGACUUACCAACCCGAUGCAAACUGCGAAUACCGGAGAAUGUUAUCACGGGAGACACACGGCGGGUGCUAACGUCCGUCGUGAAGAGGGAAACAACCCAGACCGCCAGCUAAGGUCCCAAAGUCAUGGUUAAGUGGGAAACGAUGUGGGAAGGCCCAGACAGCCAGGAUGUUGGCUUAGAAGCAGCCAUCAUUUAAAGAAAGCGUAAUAGCUCACUGGUCGAGUCGGCCUGCGCGGAAGAUGUAACGGGGCUAAA
Molecule: ribosomal RNA, 606 nt
Filed under: Escherichia coli
Lineage: Bacteria; Pseudomonadati; Pseudomonadota; Gammaproteobacteria; Enterobacterales; Enterobacteriaceae
Description: partial 23S ribosomal RNA
Rfam family: Bacterial large subunit ribosomal RNA
Source: RNAcentral